CGCACAUUGCGCCCCUUGGUAUUCCGGGGGGCAUGCCCGUUCGAGCGUCAUUUCACCACACAAGCCCAGCUUGGUAUUGGACCCGGUCGAGCGACCCGUCCUUAACCCGUUGGCGGUGCAGUCCGGCUUCAAGCGUAGCAAUAUUUUCGCUUCAGGAGUCCGCGGCGGUACCCGCCAGGAAAUGGCCACCUAAAGUUUGACCUCGGAUCAGGUGGGGAUACCCGCUGAACUUAA
This 234-nucleotide unclassified non-coding RNA is filed under the name Dothideomycetes sp. RNAcentral describes it as "partial contains 5.8S ribosomal RNA, internal transcribed spacer 2, and large subunit ribosomal RNA". Lineage: Eukaryota; Fungi; Ascomycota; Dothideomycetes. The record is from RNAcentral.